UCCGGGCGAGGGGGAGGGGGAGGCUCCGGCGGGGCGAGGUCUUUUCCGGUGAACCCCAGGUGAGCCAGGGCUGGUGGGGCGGCCACGGGGUCCCUGCGGGAAGGUCUGCAGGUGCGGGGGCGCCCAGGGCAAGCCCGGCGGGAGCUUGCGGAGGCGAAGUGGAAGCAGACAGGGUCUGGCCCCGCAAACCUCGAGGGGGCUGCGCGGGUUUGGGGGCUGCUUGCGGAUUCAGAGUGCAAGUGUGGGGGUCCCAGCCCGGAUGCGAGCUGAUUCCGGCCUGGGCGGCCCACGGACAGGACUGCAGGAGCUGUUCCCCCGAGGGUGCUGGCGGAGCUGUUCCCCCUGGGUGCUGGUGGAGCUGUCCCCACAGGGUGCUGGUGGAGCUGUCUCCUUGAAAAUUUUGGCCAAACUGUCCCCCACGGGGGUGUUGGUGGUGCUGUCCCCCACAGGGUGCUGGUGGAGCUGUCCACUCUGGAGUGCUGGUGGAGCUGUCCACUCCGGGGUGCUGAUGGAGCUGUCCCCACAGGGUGCUGAUGGAGCUGUCCCCACAGGGUGCUGGUGGAGCUGUCCACUCCGGGGUGCUGAUGGAGCUGUCCCCACAGGGUGCUGAUGGAGCUGUCCCCACAGGGUGCUGGUGGAGCUGUCCACUCCGGGGUGCUGAUGGAGCUGUCCCCACAGGGUGCUGAUGGUGCUACGUCCCCCACAGGGUGCUGGCCCCAGGGACGUCUGCCUGCAGGACAAUGCUCAGGCCUGGCUUUGAGCUGCUGGGGGCAGAGCUGCGCCUUCCGUGCACAGUGCACAUGACUCACUGUGGACAGAGGAAGCAAUGGCCCCAGGAAAAGUUCCAGUGCCAAAGCUCUGUUCGUGCCUUUGAAGAAACCGUUUCUUGGGUGAACACCAUGCUGCUAGCUCUGUCUGCUGAGUGCACCUCUGGCCUCACGCUGAACCAGGCUCCAAACGCAGUGCCUGGUGCAAAUGCAUGAGCCAACGCACGAGAGCAUGAUGUCACCGUCACACUGUCCUCUGAGGAGCACCGAGAACAUUCCCUGUUUCUGAGGUUCAAGGAAUCUGGACAUACGUGUGGUUUUCAAAAA
Non-coding RNA from Oryctolagus cuniculus (rabbit), 1094 nucleotides. NCBI's taxonomy places the organism in Eukaryota, Metazoa, Chordata, Mammalia, Lagomorpha, Leporidae. The record is from RefSeq and is a predicted model, not a curated record.